UACGUAGGCAGCGAGCGUUGUUCGGAGUUACUGGGCGUAAAGGGUGUGUAGGCGGUUGUUUAAGUUUGGUGUGAAAUCUCCCGGCUCAACUGGGAGGGUGCGCCGAAUACUGAAUGACUAGAGUGCGGGAGAGGAAAGUGGAAUUCCUGGUGUAGCGGUGAAAUGCGUAGAUAUCUGGAGGAACACCGGUGGCGAAGGCGGCAUCCUGGACCAAUAUUGACGCUGAGGAGCGAAAGCCAGGGGAGCAAACGGG
RNAcentral lists this ribosomal RNA (253 nucleotides) under uncultured bacterium. RNAcentral's name for it is "partial 16S ribosomal RNA". It matches the Rfam family "Bacterial small subunit ribosomal RNA", at positions 524 to 776 of the family's 1533-position model. The record is from RNAcentral.